CAGUAGCCACGGUAAUACGUAGGGUGCGAGCGUUAAUCGGAAUUACUGGGCGUAAAGCGUGCGCAGGCGGUUAUAUAAGACAGAUGUGAAAUCCCCGGGCUCAACCUGGGACCUGCAUUUGUGACUGUAUAGCUAGAGUACGGUAGAGGGGGAUGGAAUUCCGCGUGUAGCAGUGAAAUGCGUAGAUAUGCGGAGGAUCACCGAUGGCGAAGGCAAUCCCCUGGACCUGUACUGACGCUCAUGCACGAAAGCGUGGGGAGCAAACAGGAUUAGAUACCCCAGUAGUCCCUGUCUCUUAUAA
RNAcentral lists this ribosomal RNA (301 nucleotides) under uncultured bacterium. Its description in RNAcentral is "partial 16S ribosomal RNA". It matches the Rfam family "Bacterial small subunit ribosomal RNA", at positions 509 to 809 of the family's 1533-position model. The record is from RNAcentral.